UACGUAGGGUGCGAGCGUUGUCCGGAAUUAUUGGGCGUAAAGGGCUCGUAGGCGGUUUGUCGCGCCGGGAGUGAAAACCUUGGGCUUAACUCAGGGCUUGCUUUCGAUACGGGCAGACUAGAGGUAUGCAGGGGAGAACGGAAUUCCUGGUGUAGCGGUGAAAUGCGCAGAUAUCAGGAGGAACACCGGUGGCGAAGGCGGUUCUCUGGGCAUGAUCUGACGCUGAGGAGCGAAAGUGUGGGGAGCGAACAGG
This 253-nucleotide ribosomal RNA is filed under the name uncultured bacterium. RNAcentral describes it as "partial 16S ribosomal RNA". It matches the Rfam family "Bacterial small subunit ribosomal RNA", at positions 524 to 776 of the family's 1533-position model. The record is from RNAcentral.